This 1484-nucleotide ribosomal RNA is filed under the name uncultured Bordetella sp. RNAcentral describes it as "partial 16S-23S ribosomal RNA intergenic spacer". It matches the Rfam family "Bacterial small subunit ribosomal RNA". The record is from RNAcentral. Lineage: Bacteria; Pseudomonadati; Pseudomonadota; Betaproteobacteria; Burkholderiales; Alcaligenaceae.
AGUUCGAUCAUGGCUCAGAUUGAACGCUGGCGGGAUGCUUUACACAUGCAGGUCGAACGGCAGCACGGACUUCGGUCUGGUGGCGAGUGGCGAACAGGUGAGUAAUGUAUCGGAACGUGCCUAGUAGCGGGGAUAACUACGCGAAAGCGUAGCUAAUACCGCAUACGCCCUUCGGGGAAAGCGGGGGACCUUCGGGCCUCGCACUAUUAGAGCGGCCGAUAUCGGAUUAGCUAGUUGGUGGGGGUAACGGCUCGCAAGGCGACGAUCCGUAGCUGGUUUGAGAGGACGACCGGCCACACUGGGACUACGGCCCAGACUCCUACGGGAGGCAGCAGUGGGGGGAAUUUUGGACAAUGGGAAACCCUGAUCCAGCCAUCCCGCGUGUGCGAUGAAGGCCUUCGGGUUGUAAAGCACUUUUGGCAGGAAAGAAACGGCACGGGAUAAUACCCCGUGAACUGACGGUACCUGCAGAAUCGCUUUCAAGCCCCGCUACGUGCCAGCAGCACUUGACAUACGUAAGUGCAAGCGUUAAUCGGAAUUACUGGGCGUAAAGCGUGCGCAGGCGGUUCGGAAAGAAGAUGUGAAAUCCCAGAGCUUAACUUUGGAACUGCAUUUUUAACUACCGAGCUAGAGUGUGUCAGGGAGGUGGAAUUCCGCGUGUAGCAGUGGAAAUGCGUAGAUGGCGGAGGAACACCGAUGGCGAAGGCAGCCUCCUGGGAUAACACUGACGCUCAUGCACGAAAGCGUGUAAGGGAGCAAACAGGAUUAGAUACCCUGGUAGUCCACGCCCUAAACGAUGUCAACUAGCUGUUGGGGCCUUCGGGCCUUGGUAGCGCAGCUAACAUGGUAAAAGUUGACCGCCUGGGGAAGUACGGUCGCAAGAUUAAAACUCAAAGGAAUUGACGGGGACCCGCACAAGCGGUGGAUGAUGUGGAUUAAUUCGAUGCAACGCGAAAAACCUUACCUACCCUUGACAUGUCUGGAAUCCCGAAGAGAUUUGGGGAGUGCUCGCAAGAGAACCGGAACACAGGUGCUGCAUGGCUGUCGUCCGGCUCGUGUCAGCCGGGAUGUGGGUUAGUCCCGCAACAGGCGCAGCCCCUUGUCAUUAGUUGCUACGAAAGAGGGCACUCUAAUGAGACUGCCGGUGACAAACCGGAGGAAGGUGGGGAUGACGUCAAGUCCUCAUGGCCCUUAUGGGUAGGGCUUCACACGUCAUACAAUGGUCGGGACAGGGUCGCCAACCCGCGAGGAGCCAAUCCCAGAAACCCGAUCGUAGUCGGAUCGCAGUCUGCAACUCGACUGCGUGAAGUCGGAAUCGCUAGUAAUCGCGGAUCAGCAUGUCGCGGUGAAUACGUUCCCGAAAGGUCUUGUACACACCGCCCGUCACACCAUGGGAGUGGGUUUACCAGAAGUAGUUAGCCUAACCGUAAAGGAGGGCGAUUACCACGGUAGGACUGACUGGGGUGAAGUCGUAACAAAGGUAA